This 239-nucleotide long non-coding RNA is filed under the name Homo sapiens (human). RNAcentral describes it as "HSALNT0328332". The record is from RNAcentral. Lineage: Eukaryota; Metazoa; Chordata; Mammalia; Primates; Hominidae.
UGCAAUAAGAUAUAGACGGUGAUUGGAGUCGUUUCUCUUUUUGCUUCCAGAGGGAGCUCAAACCUGAAGCAUCAAGGUUAUCUUUUUCCAAAGGAUUUGUGUGAACCUAAGUUCGGUACCUGCGACGAGUAAAAACACUUAUUUGACCCUCUAGAGACUCAGCUAGAACUGACUGAGCAAAGGGAAAUCGGGCAAAAGAAAGGGAAGGUACUGAGGAGAAAACGACUGCGCCCAGGGAC